RNAcentral lists this ribosomal RNA (253 nucleotides) under uncultured bacterium. RNAcentral's name for it is "partial 16S ribosomal RNA". It matches the Rfam family "Bacterial small subunit ribosomal RNA", at positions 524 to 776 of the family's 1533-position model. The record is from RNAcentral.
UACGGAGGGUGCGAGCGUUGUCCGGAAUCAUUGGGCGUAAAGGGCGCGUAGGCGGCGGGACAAGCGUGCGGUGAAAGCCUGGGGCUCAACCCCGGGUCGGCCGUGCGAACUGUUUUGCUUGAGCACUGUAGAGGCAGGCGGAAUUCCGGGUGUAGCGGUGGAAUGCGUAGAGAUCCGGAAGAACACCGGUGGCGAAGGCGGCCUGCUGGGCAGUAGCUGACACUGAGGCGCGACAGCGUGGGGAGCAAACAGG